CUCGGUCACAUCGACUGGUGAAUGAAUCCAGCACUCAGGGAGCUGGAAAGAGGGGAGUAGUUCAGGAGGGAGCUGAGAAGAGAGGAUCUGAUAGGAGAAGGAUAAAGCUGCUCCCAGCCCUUGAAGUGCCUGCAAGGAGGUGCGAAGAUUUUCCAUGAUGGUAGACAACACAGGGAACAUCGUUGUGGCUGCAACACAGCCCACUCAUGCCUGUUUCCAGGCUAAAGUCACUACACCUCCCAUCAUCUGUGCAGCACAAAAAGAGGACCAGAAGCACAAAAACAGGACCAGAGUCCUACAUGGGAAUGAGAUGAGGAAACAGCCUACCUAUCCACAAACACAGCCAUCUCUGCCUGCAGGAUGUGGCCCAGGACAGGAUGCAACCAGGUUGUUUGUUGGUACCUCCACUGUGGUAUCAGUGCCAGUGUGCAGCAGAAGGGCAUCUCAUCUCUGA
Molecule: long non-coding RNA, 454 nt
Filed under: Chloebia gouldiae (Gouldian finch)
Lineage: Eukaryota; Metazoa; Chordata; Aves; Passeriformes; Passeridae
Description: Erythrura gouldiae (Gouldian finch) lncRNA (ENSEGOG00005001450.1)
Source: RNAcentral